Corvus hawaiiensis (hawaiian crow) is the source of this 1898-nucleotide long non-coding RNA. RefSeq lists it as uncharacterized. The record is from RefSeq and is a predicted model, not a curated record. The transcript has 3 exons. NCBI's taxonomy places the organism in Eukaryota, Metazoa, Chordata, Aves, Passeriformes, Corvidae.
CUGCCCUGCCCCAGCGCGGGCGUCCCCUGCCCUCCCUCACCCGGCCGAACCCAAACCGCUGCUAACGCUCCCCUCGCCCACGCCGGGGGUGCAGCCCCCGGUCCCAAAACCCUCCAGCCAUGGGCAGCCCGGCUGGCAGCACAUUUUGGGAGGUUUCCUCCUCUUUUGGGGGAUAAUUGGCUCCUACUUCAGAGAUGCUCUCUCGGGGGGUCCCCAGAUGACCACGGGGGUGCUGGGGUCCAGCUGGGGAUGGGGAUGUGCUCAGCCCCGGGUGCUGCACCCCUCGGGUGGCGUUACCAGGGUGGGGGGACGGUGACACCCCGCUCUGCUGCUGCUGCUGCUCCCCGCUCUGCUGCACGGCACCGGCUCCCUCCGCUUCCCGGGCAGGGCGCUCCGCAUCCUGGGAUCAGCAUCCGGCCUCAUCUCAGCUCCCAGGAGCGAUCACCCCUCCCAAAAACCAUUACCUGCCUCCCCCUGUCUGCCCCACGGUCCGCUCUCCUCUCCCGGGCCACCCCGCCGGGAGACGGCGUCACCUUCGGAUGGGUCUUGUGGGUAGGGACGGGGACACGGAGCGAGGUGCUGGAUGCAGCCAGGGCUGGACCCUGGGCUGGGGGCUGCCACGGGACCCUCGUGCAAGGGACGGUCCCCUGGGUGUGGCACAGUGCCCUGGACACCAUCCCAGCCGUGAGCGACCGGCAGCGCCUCCCGGACCCCACCGCGAGCCUCCCGCUGCGUUUUGGCUCCAUCGAGGUCAUUUUUGAGGCCACCCGGCUGCGGGAGCAGCAGGACCGGCAUCCCCCGGAGCCCCCGGGGAUUUCCCGGAGCGGCAGAGCCCCGCGGGCCGGGGGUCGAGUGUCUUUGCUUUAUUUGUUUAAUUAAAACCAAGGCGAGUAGGGCGGCCCAGGGGGCCCAGCCGUCGGGAGCCGGCACCCUCCACAAAGUGAUUCCUCGGGGAAGCCCGGCGGCCGAGCGGGACCACGGGGCAGCCGGGUCUCGGGCUUUCCCGGCGGCAGGACCACCCUGGAGGACUUGGCCACAGCGGGGUCCCUCCUCUGGUCCCCCCGGGGUUGCUUCCUGGGCAAAACCUCUCCCGUGCGGCCCCUUUUUAGCCGCGGAGGGUCCCCGUGCUCCGGACGAGUCCCGUCCCUCGGUGCCGCGGGCAGCCUGGCCGUCUGGGCGCCCGUUUUUCCCCGGUGAAGACGUGACCCCUUCCUCCUCCUCCUCCUUCUCCUCCUCUUCCUCCUCCUCGCGGGCCGGGGCUCCGUCGGCUCGCGCGUAAGGAUGCGCAUUCCGCCCGGGAAUCCGCCACGGUGUCGGCAUCCAGGUACGUCCCCCCCGGCUCUCCGCCGAGCCCCCGCCCGGCGCUGGGGGGUCCGCAGCGGGGGGAGAGGCGCUGCCGGGGGCUGCGGGGCGGUGACCAGCCCGGAGCCGUCGGAUGCCCGCGGGGGAGAACGGUGAGCGCACGGCGAUGCCGGGUGGCGGCGAGCAAGCUGGUUGGAAUAAAGGAUUGCUAAAGACACCGACCCGGUGGGCUUCUUUCCGCUGCCAACUCUCUCCUGCUCUUGUCUCGCCCGCCCAGGCUCCCUCCGUCCCGCCAGCUCCCCCCACCCCGGUGCUGGAGCUGCUCUGAGCCCAGAAGCCCCUUCCCAUCCCCAAACGGGCCUUUCCGCCUCGCUUCCUCCUCCUUCACACCGAGGAGACGUCAGGUUACAGCCUCCGCUUGAGAGGCGGCCGCAGGGGCCGGGGGGGCUGGGGCAGGACCCCCCCUCGCCGCUGGCUCCAGGAGGGAUCCCGGCUCCUCUCCGGCAUCGCUAGAAGAAGCAGCAGCUGCAGCCCCCGAAAUCUCGCCUGCCCGGCCCGAAGUUACGCGUGCAGAAGCGGCCGCGGGGCCCCUCCUG